This 21-nucleotide microRNA is filed under the name Marchantia polymorpha subsp. ruderalis. The record is from RNAcentral. Lineage: Eukaryota; Viridiplantae; Streptophyta; Marchantiopsida; Marchantiales; Marchantiaceae.
CCACUGUGGCAUUCACUUGCG